UGGGGAAUUUUGCGCAAUGGGGGAAACCCUGACGCAGCAACGCCGCGUGGGUGAUGAAGGCCCUUGGGUCGUAAAGCCCUGUCGGGUGGGAAGAAUCCCUUGGCGGCGAAUAGUCGCCAAGGAUGACGGUACCACUAGAGGAAGCACCGGCUAACUCUGUGCCAGCAGCCGCGGUAAUACAGAGGGUGCAAGCGUUGUUCGGAAUCACUGGGCGUAAAGCGCGUGUAGGCGGCCGAUUGUGUCGAGUGUG
This 250-nucleotide ribosomal RNA is filed under the name uncultured bacterium. RNAcentral describes it as "partial 16S ribosomal RNA". It matches the Rfam family "Bacterial small subunit ribosomal RNA", at positions 355 to 596 of the family's 1533-position model. The record is from RNAcentral.